This 41179-nucleotide long non-coding RNA is filed under the name Pelobates cultripes (western spadefoot toad). Lineage: Eukaryota; Metazoa; Chordata; Amphibia; Anura; Pelobatidae. The record is from RNAcentral.
AGGUCUGGCCAGGUCCCAACGUGUACCCCGAUUUCACAAACCCAGAGACAUUGGAUUGGUGGCAUGACAUGGUAAAGAGUUUCCACGACCAGGUGCCUUUUGAUGGGAUGUGGCUAGUAAGUAACCAUUCUCUUUGCAUUCUAUUGUGUAAAGUUAUAGAAUCUAUCAUCUGAUCAUAUAUGCAAUAGCCGAGAUCAGACGAAAAAAAGAGAGAAAAUUCAGUGAAAUCAGCCACUAUGAUUAUAUUGUGCGUUAGAGAUUACUUAGCCAAUGUAUGCUCAAUGAGAUAAUGGCUGGGAGGCACGCAUUGUGUCAACACGUCGUGGGGACCGUAGCAGUAAGAGUAACUACCUGGGGGCGACAGAGAUAUAUGAAAGCAGAGAAUUAUAUAGCCACAUGGGGGCAGGAAUGUGAUAUAUGGCCACAGGAGGUUGUUAGAGAGUUAUAUGACCACCCUUGGGUAGCAGAGAGACAAGUGACCACAUGGGGGCAGGAGAGAGAUAUAGGGCAACACGGGGGCAGCAAAGAGAUAUUUGGACACCUGGGAGCAGCAAUAGAUAAAUGGCCACAUGGGGGCAGGAGAGAGAUAAAUGGCCACACUGGGGACAAGAGAGAGAUAAAUGGCCACACUGGGGCAGCAGAGGGAUAUAUGGACUAGGGGGAGCAAAGAGAUAAUUACCCAAACAGAACUAGCAAAGAGAUAAAUGGCCACAUGGGGGCAGCAGAGAUAUAUAUAUAGCCACACAAGGUCAGCAAGCAAUAACAAAUAGUUGGAACAAACUAUUACUAACCUCUAAGUUCUCAGAAUCAGUAACAAAACUGUAACUAUGGGAAAAUCACACCGAAAAUAACUUGUGCUAAAAAUGUAACUCUCUAGGCAGAUACUGCUACCGACCUGAGAACAAAUCAGGUAAAGUUUUUCUGUAUAACUCGGGUAUCGUAGCGCAGAUAUACACCAUGUUCUUCAUUUCGUUGUUGUUUUUUUUAACAGAAGGUAUUCCGAUCCGUACAUUUUUUCGGGUACAGUUAUAUUUUUCCCUGUGAGAAGUCCAUCACUUUAUUUCCCUGUGUGCGUCAGGCACUGACAUUGUGGCGAAAGUGACCUCGCCAUUGGUUUCUGGAGGCCUGAUUGCUCGCCUUUUGCCCCAGGAUUGUAUGGCCCUUUAAAACUGUUAUUGGGGAAUAUUGACACUUUUGGGAACAAUGCCCCUUUAAGACUGUGUCCCAGACCUUUAAAAUACUUGGUUCGUGGCUUUUUCCUAUUUGGUUCGGUAAAUGGGGCUUACCGAACCAAUUACUGUAUAGGCGGACCGCACAGAAGGAAAGUGUGCGGCUAAUUUACCUCCCAGGCUGGCGGUUAACCGCAGGUUAAUUGCCAACUGCUGGGUGGCCUUUGUUCAUGCAGUCGAACACGUGGUGGCGGCCAUCUUUGUGACCCCUACCUUCUCCUCCACUUAGACACUGCGGCUGAAAACUAAGUCCCGUUCGACAAUUUGAACGCACAGUGAGACUAAGCUAUAUGCACGAACGGUGCCCCGUUUGCGCAUUCGAAUGGGACUUAGUCAUUUUUCUGAGUGAAAUUGACUGACCGCACAGCCAAAAACUAUGGAACUGAUUUGGGCAGGAAAGCAUGCUUGCGGUCGGUCAAGAAGGACUUCCAAAUAACUUUUUAACCCCUGCAGGGAAUUGUAUGAUUUUUGGAUAUGUCUAUAUUUGAAGUGUGCCGAUUAAUAAUAUGUAACUUUUAUGGAGACUGGAUGUAUAUUUUUAAAGUUAUAGUAAAUGUGUAAAAAGUAUUGUUACGACACCUCCCAUGUCUUUAAGCCAAACCGCCGUUUAGUAAACCUUCCCCGGCUGCAGUACAGUCUCUGUUCGCUUACUCUGUAACCCACGAACCAAAUGCAGGGGAAGCGGCAAUCUCCCGAUCGAAAUCCACGAACGGCUCCAAACUCCCGAACGGCAAUAUACGAACUGCUAGGAACCGUCGAACAAUAAUAUCCCCAAAGCGGCUUUCGUUCCAUCCAGCAGUCUCUAAACGUGAAGAAGAAAUCCCCCCAAUAACGAGACAGAAGCUCCGCAUUGAGGGUCAAAUAAGAUCUGGGUUUACUGUGGGCUACCUGCCCGUAUUUAUGCAGGUCUCCCACCUGGUGGACACUCCCCUAGGGGACCAAAUGGAAGACUUAAAGUACAGACAGAUAGCAGGACAUUUCUGACACACAGUCACAUAUUUUACCCACAGUACAUUCUGAUUCCCUCCCCUCUGUCCUGGAGUUAAUUACCAAGUAACUCAAUUAACUCCAGGACAAGGACAGUCGCCAUCUUAAACAUGAAAUAAUAAAAGACACAAAAAUGCAUAACUACAUGAAGACUGAACAUUUCCCAUUCGUAUUACAUGUCCCCAGAUAGCCUGGAUCUGAGUGCAUAUUAUUGGCGAAUAGCGCUCAGAUCCCACACACAUAGUUCAAUCGCCAUGGAGUCAAAGUUCUUACAGUCCUUCGGUACACGAAUGACUCCAUGGGUGGGCUAUCUGGGUUAAGUCUUUUGUGUGUUCUCAAUCUCCCGAACGGCCGAUGUUCGCAUGCUUUCGUGGAGGCAGCCAGGCGUUCCCUUGUUUCAGCGGUGUUCGACAGAAAAAGUGUCCGUUUUCCGUUCCAUAGAAAUAGAGCCAAACACCGCUGAGCGUUCGCAUGAUUUAAAAUGGCCGCUGCCUCGUGGUCGACAUACGAACGACGACCACCCUGAGUUCGGUUUAAUUGAGAAGUGUCUGCGGUUAACCACAACGUUAUAAUGGUGAUCACUUCGUUAACCUGCAGCACACUCCUCACUUGGGUGGCCGUUCGUUCGGCGGUUUUGUUCGGGAAAAAGAGUCAUUCGAAUGGCUGGGCUAUAGAAACCAGCCAUUCAUACGAACGGGGACAAACAGACGAACGGGCAAAAAUCCAGCAGACAGAUGGUUCUGUCACACGGCUCCCUCCUUGUGGGACACUCCGGCAGACCCGGCUUGACCCUGUGGCGGGUCAACUUGGGGAUGACCGGACUACGAGGUGAUGGAAACGUCUGUUUGUCGUGACAACCCAUCUGCGUUUCCGUUUAGCUUACCGGGUCUGUAGCUGAUGGUAAAAUUGUAGGGCUGUAGUGCCAAGCUCCAUCUCAGCAGUCUCCCAUUGUCUCCUGAGACCCGGUUAAGCCAAACGAGUGGGUUGUGAUCAGUCACAAGGGAAAACUCUUGCCCAUACAAAUAGGGGCUUAACUUUUUCAGUGCCCAGACCAAGGCCAAACAUUCCUUCUCCACUGCCGCAUAACUCACUUCUCUGGGUAACAACUUUCUGCUGAGAUAUGCGACAGGGUGCUCUCCUCCAUCUUCCCCGACUUGGCUCAGCACAGCCCCCAGUCCAUACAUGGAAGCAUCUGUAUGGACGAGAAAGCGUUUGUUAGGGACUGGGGCAGCCAAGACAGGGGCAUUCACAAGAGCCUGCUUCAGUGCCUGGAACGCAGCUUCACAAGCCGGAGACCACAGGACCUGCUUAGGCAAGUUCUUCUUCGUCAGGUCUGUCAGGGGCUUAGCGAUAGCGCUGUAGUCAGGGACAAAACGUCUGUAGUACCCUGCCGUCCCCAAGAAGGCCAAUACCUGGGUCUUAGUAGUGGGUGUGGGCCAGUUAGCCACUGCUUCUACCUUGGCUGGCUCUGGUCUCUGGCUCCCACACCCCACUCUGUGACCCAGGUACUGCACUUCAGCCAUACCUAGAUGACACUUUUCUGGCUUCAACGUCAGGCCAGCGGCCCUAAUCUUAUCCAGCACUACCCCUACAUGUACCAGGUGUUCCUCCCAGGACCCACUGUAGAUCGCAAUGUCGUCCAAGUAUGCACAGGCAAAUUCUUGGAAGCCAUCCAGGAGUCUAUCCACCAUCCGUUGGAAAGUAGCCGGUGCAUUUUUCAUCCCAAAAGGCAUGACCUUAAAUUGGUACAGGCCAAAUGGGGUGACAAAUGCCGACUUGGGGAUAGCAUCCUCGGCCAGGGGGAUCUGCCAGUAGCCCUUACACAGGUCUAUGGUGGUCAGAUAUCGCCCCCUGGCAAUACGAUCUAGUAAUUCGUCUACCCGGGGCAUUGGGUAGGCGUCAGUGGUGGUCCGCUCGUUGAGUCGCCUGUAGUCCACACAGAACCGGGUGGUCCCAUCUUUCUUUGGCACCAGGACUACAGGCGAGGCCCAAGGGCUGUCGGAGUGCUCGAUAACCCCAAGUUGGGUCAUCUCCUGUAUCUCCUUCCGCAUUCCUUCACGGACUGCUUCAGGGAUACGGUAGGGGGGCUGUCGUAACGGGGUCUGUCCAGGGGUCUCUACCUUAUGCACAGCUAGGGUGGUAUAACCUGGUUCCUGGGAGAACGUCGCCUGCUUCUCCCAUAACAACUGCUGCGCCUGUACCCUUUCUGUGGGGUUCAACCGGUCCCCUAGCUGUACCAAGGUAGUAAGGUCAGUCUGGGAAUCCCUUUCUAAUAGAUCUGGAAGGGGUAAAUUCUCAGAAUCAUCUGCAGCUGGGGCACACACUGCUGCAAUGUUCUCAGGUCUCUCCUGGUACUCUUUCAGCAUGUUCACAUGAAAGGACCGCUGGAUCCUCUCAUCUGCACAGCUGGCUAUCAAGUAAGUAGUGUCGCAGAUCUGCGCCACUACCUUGUACGGGCCCUGCCAAGAUGCUUGCAUCUUGUUGGCCUUCACAGGUUUAAGCACCAAUACCUUUUGCCCAACCUGGAAGACCCGCUGUCGGGCACCCUGAUCGUACCAUCUCUUCUGUCUCCCCUGGGCCGCCUGGAGAUUCUCCCUUACCAUCAGGGACAGUUUCUCCAUGCGGUCCCGGAGUUCCAGAACAUAUGGCACUAUGGGGGUCCCUUCCUGCUCCGUCUCCCCCUCCCAGUGGCCUCUAAUGAGAUCUAGGGGUCCGCGGACCCUUCUCCCAUACAGCAGCUCAAAGGGGGAGAACCCAGUAGAUUCCUGGGGCACCUCUCUAUAAGAAAAUAAUAGAUGAGGCAGGAAUCUCUCCCAGUCUCUGCAAGUGUCUGUAAAGGUCCUCAGCAUCUGUUUGAGGGUACCGUUAAAGCGCUCGCAGAGACCGUUAGUCUGUGGGUGGUAGGGUGAGCUAAGUAACGGCUUAAUGCCGCACACCUUCCACAGUUGCUGGGUGAGCACAGCGGUGAAUUGGGUUCCCUGGUCGGAGAGGAUCUCCUUAGGGAACCCGACCCUAGUAAAAAUUCUAACCAGGGCAUCAGCAACCGUCUCUGCCUCUAUGUUAGACAGCGCUACUGCCUCUGGAUAGCGGGUGGCAUAGUCCACCACGGUAAGAACAUACUUCUUACCGGAUGGACUAGCCCUGGCCAGUGGACCCACAAUGUCAACGGCUAUGCGGGCAAAGGGCUCCCCUAUAAUAGGCAUCGAUAAUAGCCUAGCCUUAGGGUGGUCCCCCCGCUUUCCUACCCGUUGACAUGUGUCACACGUGCUGCAGUACAUCCGCACAGCCUGGUUAAAGUUUGGCCAAAAGAAGUUCUGUGAAAUCCUAUAGGCUGUGCGGCGGGACCCUAGAUGUCCAGCUAAAGGAACAUCAUGCCCUAUCCGCAGAAUCUCCUGCCGGUACUUUGCAGGUACCACUAACUGGCGAUUCGGCGGAGAGGCAACACUCUUCUGGGAAGGUUUAGGGAUCCUAUAUAACCUGUCCCCCACCCACUCAUACCGUUCCCCAUCUAUUCCUUCCUCCCCAGCCUCUGCCCUGUCCUUGUAUCUUUGGAGGGUCGGAUCCGCCCGGGUUUCCCUCCCAAACUCCUCUGGGGAAUCCCAGCUUAAGGGGACCUGAUCUGGGGUAUCAGUCGGGGAAGGAGAUCUUACCUGGGUCUCGUCAGCAAGUGGGCUGGUUCCGGCAGCACGGGUCUGGGCACGGGUGGUCACUGGGUUCACGUCUGCAGGGCCCAUCGGAGCAUAGGCUGAAACCAAAGGGGCCAAAUCGUUUCCCAAAAGAACAUCUGCGGGCAAGUCCUUCAUCACCCCCACAUCCACAUGCCUAGCGCCCACUCCCCAAUCCAAAUGUACUCGGGCAACAGGUAAGCGAAACACGGCACCCCCUGCUACCCUUACUGCCACAGUGUCUCCAGUGUGUUGAUGCUCUGAGACCAAGUUCUUUUGGAGCAGUGUCAUCGUGGCUCCUGUGUCUCUCAGCCCAUUCACCACUCUGCCAUUUAGUUUCACAGUUUGCCGAUGUUGCUGGCGAUUAUCCUGGUGAGCCGCUUGCACUGGGUCUGCCUCGUGCAGAAUGCCCCAAAAUUCCUCCUGCUCUAGGCAGUGAGCAGCAGGCUGAGGUGGGCGCUGGUUUCCGUUAACUGGUCUCCUCCAGGACUGAGCCUGGUUGGCACUGUUCAGGGGGCACUCAGGACGCUUGUGCCCCAACUGCUUGCAUCCAUAGCACCGGAUGGGUUGGGAGUACUCCCGGGCAUUAAAUCGGGCUGGUUGCAUAUAAUUGUUAGCUGGUGGUGCGGCUGGGGUACGGUGUACUGGGGGUUGGUAGACUGCAGGAGCGGGUGUUACUGCUGGUCGAUAUUCCAGUCUGGCAGGGGCUUUAGCAGCUGUACCAUCCAACUUGCGGGCAUCCGUGUAUUCGUCUGCCAGACGGGCAGCCUCGGGUAGGGUAGAGGGUUUUCUGUCUCUGACCCAUUCCCGGACCCCAGCAGGUAGUCUAUCAAAGCAGUGCUCCAGCAGGAACACUUGUAACACCUCCUCCCCAGUUACCGCUUGGCAUCCAGCCAUCCAGUGGGCUGCGGUACGAUGGACUCUGCAGGCCCAUUCCACAUAAGAGUCCCCAACCAGCUUGUUGGUUUCUCUAAACCUCCGCCUGUACGCCUCUGGGGUCACUGCAUACCUGGCUAGGAGCGCCUCUUUCACAGCCCGGUAGCUGGUGAUCUCCUCCUCUGGGAUGGCCCGAAAAGCUUCACUAGCCCGGCCAGAUAAUUUCCCAGAGAGGAUGGUGACCCAUUCAUCUGCAGGUACCUGAUGUAGCGCACACUGCCUCUCAAAGUCUGCCAAAAAUCCAUCAAUCUCUCCCUCUGUUUCCACAAAAUUUUUAAACGCAGCAAAAGGUACCUUUUUUCUAGCAACCACAUUAUUGUCAUACGGUACCUCUGCUGCUGCAGCUCCUCUUUCCCGGGCUGCCUGUUGUGUUGCAACUGCUGCCUGCACACGAACCACGAUGUCAGCUGAGGGGUUGGGGCCAAAAUGUGCCAGCCUUAUUUGUACUGCCCGGUUGAAUUGUAUUUCCUCGGGUGUUAAAUCCAAGGUACUGGGCACGUUGACUCUUUCCAUUCCCGUUGCUGCAUCCAUCUCCAUUAGCAAAGCAAUAAUCUCCCGUUUCUUUAAAUUGCUUGCUGACCUUCCUCGGCGUUCCAAUAUGUCCUUAAGUGUAGCACGCCUUAAUUCCUCGUACUGCAUCUCUUGUAGCUGACCUCCAGUGCUGUAGGAUUCAUCCCACCGCUGCCACCAAUUGUUAAGACACCUCCCGUGUCUUUAAGCCAAACCGCCGUUUAGUAAACCUUCCCCGGCUGCAGUACAGUCUCUGUUCGCUUACUCUGUAACCCACGAACCAAAUGCAGGGGAAGCGGCAAUCUCCCGAUCGAAAUCCACGAACGGCUCCAAACUCCCGAACGGCAAUAUACGAACUGCUAGGAACCGUCGAACAAUAAUAUCCCCAAAGCGGCUUUCGUUCCAUCCAGCAGUCUCUAAACGUGAAGAAGAAAUCCCCCCAAUAACGAGACAGAAGCUCCGCAUUGAGGGUCAAAUAAGAUCUGGGUUUACUGUGGGCUACCUGCCCGUAUUUAUGCAGGUCUCCCACCUGGUGGACACUCCCCUAGGGGACCAAAUGGAAGACUUAAAGUACAGACAGAUAGCAGGACAUUUCUGACACACAGUCACAUAUUUUACCCACAGUACAUUCUGAUUCCCUCCCCUCUGUCCUGGAGUUAAUUACCAAGUAACUCAAUUAACUCCAGGACAAGGACAGUCGCCAUCUUAAACAUGAAAUAAUAAAAGACACAAAAAUGCAUAACUACAUGAAGACUGAACAUUUCCCAUUCGUAUUACAUGUCCCCAGAUAGCCUGGAUCUGAGUGCAUAUUAUUGGCGAAUAGCGCUCAGAUCCCACACACAUAGUUCAAUCGCCAUGGAGUCAAAGUUCUUACAGUCCUUCGGUACACGAAUGACUCCAUGGGUGGGCUAUCUGGGUUAAGUCUUUUGUGUGUUCUCAAUCUCCCGAACGGCCGAUGUUCGCAUGCUUUCGUGGAGGCAGCCAGGCGUUCCCUUGUUUCAGCGGUGUUCGACAGAAAAAGUGUCCGUUUUCCGUUCCAUAGAAAUAGAGCCAAACACCGCUGAGCGUUCGCAUGAUUUAAAAUGGCCGCUGCCUCGUGGUCGACAUACGAACGACGACCACCCUGAGUUCGGUUUAAUUGAGAAGUGUCUGCGGUUAACCACAACGUUAUAAUGGUGAUCACUUCGUUAACCUGCAGCACACUCCUCACUUGGGUGGCCGUUCGUUCGGCGGUUUUGUUCGGGAAAAAGAGUCAUUCGAAUGGCUGGGCUAUAGAAACCAGCCAUUCAUACGAACGGGGACAAACAGACGAACGGGCAAAAAUCCAGCAGACAGAUGGUUCUGUCACAAGUAUAUUUUUCCUGCCUGUGAUAAUUAUGUUAACCCAUUGUGUACAGUAAUUAUAUCAUAGGCAGAGGGGAGGAUUUUGUGGGAAUGAACUGUGGGAGUGUUUAACUGUAUUGGACAUGUUUGACUGGCUGUUCUACAAACCCAUGUGGGUGGUAACAUGGUGUAAUAUGAUAUGUAUAAAAGAAGCAAUAAAACCACAGCUCUGUCUGUUCCUGCUUACUCUCCAAACCGUGUAUCGUCCAGUUAUUGGAGGGAAGAAUAUUUGCUCCUGUGCCUGCUGUUCCAGCUUGCAGGAGACUCAACGGGGAAAGUCCUUGUAAGGACUAGAGCUAAUUCCCUAUUCGGUUCCAGAGUGCUCAGGACUGAGUAGCGUCCAGUUCCUGGAGGUGUCUGCUGGAGUGCUUGGAGCCCUCAGGAAGCGCUAGGAGCAUCCUUCAAUGGAGGUACCCAGUCGGGGUGCCAUAUGAUCUGUUACAGACAUUAAAUCAUAGAUCAUACCAGUUUGUGACGCAGGCAUUCUUGGGCCGCAAGGAGCUUGUGGCCAUGUGAUCACGACAAUAGCAUUGCUCCUAAAUACCCAAGGUUUUCAGAAACUAAACAACAUUGUGAACAGUUUGCAAAACCAACCAAAAUAGCAACAAAUUUUGUGGGAGAUAAUUAAAAAAAACUGGUCAAAGCAGAAACUGGACUUGGGUUUUUACUAUGUAGUGGUUAUGGUGCAUGAAGUGUUCCUUUACGUCAGGUAAGACAUGACAACCUAGGGUCAGCCGCUAGAGGGAAGUCUUGUCUAGCCUUGUUGUAACUGCUUCUAUCUCUAUCACAGGACAUGAAUGAGCCUACUAACCUUGUCAAUGGCUCGCUGGACGGCUGUCCCCAAAAUGAUUUGGAAAACCCUCCAUAUGUCCCAGGUAAAUCCUGGCCACUUACCGUAUAACCAUAGCUACUCCAGGCAUGAUGUGAAUAUAAAAAUGAACUAUAAAAUACAUUGUAACAUGUUACAGUGAAACAAGGGUCAUGUUGGAAUGAUCUGUAUGUCAAGGGUCAAAUCUGGCUGUUAAAGGCUGUGUUUGGUUUUAACUUGUCUCUGGUGUCUCCAUAAGUGGGACACCAGAGGACAAAAGGGCCAGGAAAGCAUAUGGUGCAUGUGUUUGGAGCCUGCUUGUGGGAUUGCAUGUGUGUAGAAUUAGCUGAUUGUGGUGUGGUAUUGUGUAAAUAGGUCGAUUUCAUUUGUGUUUGUGGUGUAAUAUGUGUGGCUAGGGGCUGUAGCAGUGGCGUACAUACCAGGGUCGCAGGGGUCGCGGCUGCGACCGGGCCCGGCCCACCAGGGGGCUCGGCCGCCCCUGCGACCCGGUAUGUAGCCACAGGGCCAGCCUCUUCCCCAGGGGGGCCCAGGAGCCGACCACCCCAGGGCCCCCAGAGGCUGGCCCUGCUGUCACCGGGCAGGCGGGUGGCCAGUCGGGCAGGCAGGCGGGCGUGCGAGGGAGCACUCAGUGCUUCCUCUUCAGCUCCCUCGCGCACCGCACUGAUACCGGAGCCGGAAGAUGACGUCAUCUUCCGGCGCCGGCAUCCCUAAGCGGCGCGCGAGGGAGCUGAAGAGGAAGCACACAGAGCAGAGAGCUCCCUCGCGCGCCCGCCUGCCCAGACAGCCCGCCCACCCAGGAGCCCAGCAGCACCACUGGACCCCAGGGAAUCCCCCCAGCACUCCAAUAGGUAAGGAGGCUGGGGGGAUUACAUUUAAAAAAUAAAAAUGUGUUAGUGUGUGUGUGUGUCUUAGUAUGUGUGUGUUAGUGAGUAUGUGUGUGUUAGUGUGUGUGUGUGUGUGUGUUUAGUAUGUGUGUGUGUGUUUAGUAUGUGUGUGUUAGUGUAUGUGGGUCUUAGUAUGUGUGUGUGUUAGUAUGUGUGUGUUAGUAUGUGUGUGUUAGUAUGUGUGUGUUAGUGUAUGUGGGUCUUAGUAUGUGUGUGUGUUAGUAUGUGUGUGUUAGUGUAUGUGGGUCUUAGUAUGUGUGUGUGUGUUAGUGUAUGUGUGUCCUAGUAUGUGUGUGUUUGUGUGUGUGUUAGUAUAUGUGUGUCCUAGUAUUUGUGUGUUAGUGUGUGUGUUAGUGUAUGUGUGUGUGUUAGUGUGUGUGUUAGUGUGUGUAUUAGUGUUUGUGUUAGUGUGUGUAUUAGUGUUUGUGUUAGUGCGUGUAUUAGUGUUUGUGUUAGUGCGUGUGUUAGUGUGUGUGUCAGUGAGUGUGUCUGUUAUUGUGUUAUUGGGUGUGUGUCUGCUAGUGAGUGUGUUACUGUGUGUGUCUGUUACUGAGUGUGUUUGUCUGUUAGUGAGUGUGUGUUUGUCAGUGAAAGUGUAUGUUUUGUAAGUGAGUGUGUAUGCGUCUGUUCGUGAGAGUGUGUGUGUCUCUUCAGCAUUUACCUUUCUCCAGCGUCGGACUCCCCAGUGUCCGCCUCUCAGCUCCAAAUGCAAAUGCGUGGCAAGAGGCGCGCGCGCGCAUUUAAACCGCCAUAGGAAAGCAUUACUCAAUGCUUUCCUAUGGACGUUCAGUGUCUUCUCACUGUGAUUUUCACAGUGAGAAUCGCGGAAGCUCCUCUAGCAGCUGUCAAUGAGACAGACAGCCAUACGAAACGGCUAUGUUUUCAGCUGCAGGGUUAAAACUAGAAGGACCUGGCACCCAGACCACUUCAUUGAGCUGAUGUGAUCUGGGUGUCUGUAGUGGUCCUUUGUGGUGUGGCUGCUGUCGCGGUCGCUGUCGCAGCCCUGUAACCCCUGCGACCAGGUGCCCGCCGCCAUGUGUUGCGGCCCCCGACCCGCGCCGAGUAAGCGCGGGGGGGAGGGGGGGCCCACGGAUCAAUUUUCGCACCGGGGCCCAAUGGGUCAUGUGUACGCCACUGGGCUGUAGAGAAUGUGUGUAUAGGGGGCAUAGUGUGUAUAGGGGAUGUAGCGAUUGUGUGCGUAUGUAGUGUGUGUGUAUAUAGGUGACGUAGUGUGUGUAGGUGUUGUAUAGAGUGUGUGUUUAGAGAAUGUAGUAUGUGUUUGCUUACAAGGAAUGUAGUAUGUGCAUAGGGUAUCCAGAGUUUGUAUGUCAGGAAUGUACUGUGUGUGUUGGGGAUGUAGUGUGUAAAGGACCGAGAGUGUGUAGAGGAGAUAUUGUGUGUGUGUAGAUGAAUCAGAGUGUAUAUAUGGAUUGUGUGUGUGUGUAUGUGUAGAGGAUUCAGAGUGUAUAUAGGGACUUCGGUGUACUUAGCACUUUACAGGUUACAUUACAGUAGAGGAAGGUACAGUAAGCACAGUAGGUAUACAGUGUAUGUAUAUUUUAUUUAUAUAGCGCUAACAGGUGUACUCAGCACUUUACAUGUUACAUUACAGUAGAGGGAGGCACAGUAAGCACAGUAGGUAUACAGUGUAUGUAUAUUAUAUUUAUAUAGCGCUAACAGGUGUACUCAGCACUUUACAGGUUACAUUACAGUAGAGGGAGGUACAGUAGGUGCAGUAGGUAUACAGUGUAUGCAUAUUAUAUUUAUAUAGCGCUAACAGGUGUACUCAGCACUUUACAGGUUACAUUACAGUAGAGGGAGGUACAGUAAGUGCAGUAGGUAUACAGUGUAUAUAUUUUAUUUAUAUAGCACUAACAGGUGUACUCAGCACUUUACAGGUUACAUUACAGUAGAGGGAGGUACAGUAAGUGCAGUAGGUAUACAGUGUAUGUAUAUUUUAUUUAUAUAGCGCUAACAGGUGUACUCAGCACUUUACAGGUUACAUUACAGUAGAGGGAGGUACAGUAAGUACAGUAGGUAUAGUGUGUAUCUAUAUGUUAUUUAUAUAGUGCUAACAGGUGUACUCAGCACUUUACAGGUUACAUUACAGUAGAGGGAGGUACAGUAAAUGCAGUAGGUAUACAGUGUAUGUAUAUAUUAUUUAUAUAGCGCUAAUAGGUGUACUCAGCACUUUACAGGUUACAUUACAGUAGAGGGAGGUACAGUAAGUGCCGUAGGUAUGCAGUGUAUGUAUAUUUUAUUUAUAUAGCGCUAACAGGUGUACUCAGCACCUUACAGGUUACAUUACAGUAGAGGGAGGUACAGUAAGUGCAGUAGGUAUACAGUGUGUGUAUAUUUUAUUUAUAUAGCGCUAACAGGUGUACUCAGCACUUUACAGGUUACAUUACAGUAGAGGGAGGUACAGUAAGUGCAGUAGGUAUGCAGUGUAUGUAUAUUAUAUUUAUAUAGCGCUAACAGGUGUACUCAGCAUUACAGGUUACUUUACAGUGGGAGGGGGGUACAGUAAGUGCAGUAGGUAUAUAGUGUAUGUAUAUUUUAUUUAUAUAGUGCUAACAGGUGUACUCAGCGCUUUACAGGUUACAUUACAGUAGAGGGAGGUACAGUAAGUGCAGUAGGUAUACAGUGUAUGUAUAUUAUAUUUAUAUAGCGCUAACAGGUGUACUCAGCACCUUACAGCUUACAUUACAGUAGAGGGAGGUACAGUAGGUAUACAGUGUAUGUAUAUAAUAUUUAUAUAGCGCUAACAGGUGUACUCAGCACUUUACAGGUUACAUUACAGUAGAGGGAGGUACAGUAAGUACAGUAAGUAUACAGUGUAUGUAUAUUUUAUUUAUAUAGCACUAACAGGUGUACUCAGCACUUCACAUGUUACAUUACAGUAGAGGGAGGUACAGUAAGUGCAGUAGGUAUACAGUGUAUGUAUAUUAUAUUUAUAUAGCGCUAACAGGUGUACUCAGCACUUUACAGGUUACAUUACAGUAGAGGGAGGUACAGUAAGUGCAGUAGGUAUACAGUGUAUGUAUAUUUUAUUUAUAUAGCGCUAACAGGUAUACUCAGCACUUUACAGGUUAUAUUACAGUAGGGGGAGGUACAGUAAGUGCAGUAGGUAUACAGUGUAUGUAGAUUUUAUUUAUAUAGCACUAACAGGUGUACUCAGCACUUUACAGGUUACAUUACAGUAGAGGGAGGUACAGUAAGUGCAGUAGGUAUACAGUGUAUGUAUAUUUUAUUUAUAUAGCGCUAAUAGGUGUACUCAGCACUUUACAGGUUAUAUUACAGUAGAGGGAGGUACAGUAAGUGCAGUAGGUAUACAGUGUAUGUAUAUUAUAUUUAUAUAGCGCUAACAGGUAUACUCAGCACUGUACAGGUUACAUUACAGUAGAGGGAGGUACAGUAAGUGCAGUAGGUAUACAGUGUAUGUAUAUUUUAUUUAUAUAGCGCUAACAGGUAUACUCAGCACUUUACAGGUUACAUUACAGUAGAGGGAGGUACAGUAAGUGCAAUAUUCAUUCAGAUAUUAUAAUAGAGAUUUUGUACAGGUUUGUAGCAUGUCACCUGUCUCUGCUCUUUAUCUUACUAUCUUUUAUUUGACCUUUUGUGUUUAUUUGAUAGCGGUAGUUCACGGCUCCCUUCAGGCGACGACCAUCUGUUCAUCCAGCAAGCAGCAUGUUUCUACCCAUUACAACCUCCACAACUUGUACGGACUCUCUGAGACCAUAGCCUCCUACCAGUAAGUGAACAGGAGGGACUGGAACAGGAGGAGUUAUUCAGGCUCUGUGAUUAGCUGUGUUGUAAAAUAUCAGUAGAAAUGUAUAAAACAAGAUGGUAGAAUUGAACCUGUCAAGCUUAGAGACACUUGUUAAUAUAGUCUACUGAAUGCUUGUUACUGUGUCUUGGUGGGAACUGGGUCAGUCAUGGAAUAUCUCGACAAAACUCCGCACUCCCUAGAACCCAGCAUUCUCUGGCAUACUAUUUGACAAAUUAUGGAUACAUUCAUGUAAAUAUUGCAAAUAAUUUAUUUAAUUUAUUACACAUUGCAUUUUAAUAUCAGCCCUGAGUAUUUUGAGGAAGCCAGAUCUAUUUUAACUCUGUCAUGAGAAAAAUACAAAAUACUCACAGAACGAUGGGCAUUAUUCUGCUUUGCUUGAUGUGUCCUGUAUCCGUUGUCCUGCGUGAUGUAGAAAGUAGCUUAUGGGAUCUAAUAUCCAGCCCCCUUAUUUUCAUGCAAAUCACUUGUGACCCCCCCAGAAACACAGUUAGUUUUGGUACUUUUUACUCCUUUGUCAAGCUCCACACAUCAAAAUCCAUUAAUUAAAUUCCAGAAAGUAACAGAUCUCCCAAAACCCACAUUUACCCAUUAGGCCAGAUAUCUUAGCAUUUAUUCAUAUCAAGUGUGUUAAUUGUCAGAUCGGAGAUGAGCUCCUCAGAUUGUCACACAAAAUACCACAAAUAUUGCAGUCUGUUAAAGCCCUGAACUAGGUGAUAACUACAUCCUUACACUACAUGUAGAGUCACAGGUUUGAAACAAAACACGUUUAACACAAAGAUGGACACUUGGACACAAUAUAUAUAAAAUAAUAACACGAUAUACGAGUAUUAGGACCAUUGUGAAGACAUUAUCUGUUAGCACUUGUUAAGAUCCUGGAUUUACCUGUUGGCAAACAAAUUGAUAGAAGGCAGGAGUGAUGUCAUAGGUGGUAACAAAGAAUGUAAUGACGCAAGUCUAGAUUCUGAAACUGUACAUUAGUGAUCUGCCCAAAAGCAUUGAUGCCAUGGACCCUCCUUUCAUCCUAGGUGUUUACAAAACAUCAAACCAAAGAAUAUCUUUAAAAAUAUUUUAGAACUGCAGGUGUGAAUACAUUAUCUAGAGUCAAAGAACAGGCAGAUUUUAAUGUGAAAUGUGUCAAUCAUAAAAUCGCCUAGAGUAAAGUUUCUGCCUGAGGUGAAACUUAAUUAGAUCGUUCAGGAAUAUGACGUCAUGAAAUUACUGUUGACACACAGACUAUCUUCUACUGUAUUGGUGUCUGAAUGAACAUGGGUCUCUAACAUGCGUGAAAGAAUGCACGAACGUGACGUUUAAAGAACAAAAACAAUAUAAAGAAUAAACAAAACAAUGGUUCUAAUUAGAAGAUCCUUGUGGGCAUUAGGCUUCUGCCUGUACCACCCACCCCAUAUACGUUUAGUUGAGGUCUUGAACAGCUCCCUAACGAUUAAUGAAAUUAGCUGAAUAAUGAGAAUAUGCACAAACAUUAUGAAUAGAAAUAAUAUAUGUCUCACCACAACAGAUAAAUUGUCUGUUCUUCAUCACUGGAUGAAAUGUGGGCACAGCUUUGGGCACCAUGAUAAGGCAGAUUCUGCAGAAAAUAAAUACAUUAAUUUCAUGUAUUUCUAACUAAUACUGUUUGACGUGUUACACAUUAAAAAAAUAAAACAGAAACCGUGCAAGGUGCUUAAUAGAAACAAUUAUGUGAUCGUGAUUUUAGUUCGGAAUCAGCUGCAAUAACUCCACACUAUAUCUGUGCAAACAACCCCCAAUUCACAACCCCAUAAAAAGUGUGCUGUGCAAAAAAACAACAAAAUGCAUAGACAUAUUCUAUGACGGCUGCCUCUAUGAACGAUGGCUGUGCAAUAUACCAAAGGGUCAACUCCUAAAUAUGAAGAGGAAUUAUUCAGAAGACGAUGUGUUUGGGUCCCACUACAAAAAGAAAAGUCCUGCGCUCACUCCCAUCACUCCUGGGCGGCAGUAACGACCACAAACUAAAGGAAAAAAGUUACCUGCACUCUCUUCUUAAUCCCUAUGUAUAUUUAAACAAAUGGAGGUCAUUUAGUUACUCCAAUGGCCACUGGAGGGAAUGCCCGUCUGCCAACGUCACGUGUUUAGAUCCCACGCAUACAAAAUACUUAGAGGCUUUGUGGAUAAGAAAUAUGAUAGGAAGGUUUUAAAAUCAGCGCAUAGAGAGAUUGAAACUGUAACUGGGGGAUAUAUCGUAGCAAAAAUCAAAGGGAAGUGGAAAAGGUAAAGUGAGAGACAUAACCAUAUUUUGAUAGUUAAUCAUUCUGGGAAUAAUAACAAAUGUAGAAGAAUUGUAAAUAAGUAUUGGUUAAUUUUAUCUGAACAUCCUAUUCUAGAAGGCAUUACCUGAUAAACCCGAUGGUGGUCUAUAGAGGUGUAUCUAGCAUUAAAGACAAAUUAGUGAAAAGUUGCUUCCAAAAGUGAUAGGGAACGGGUAUUAGUUAGGGAAUACUUUAAGGGAAGUUUUUAAAGUGGGGAUUGUUUCGCUUGUAGUGAGAAAGGAAUUUGUGAGCUACAUCUCAGGAAAAAGUUAUAAAAUCAUGCAUUCCAUAACUUACAUCUUAGAAAUGUUAAAAGAGGAUUUGAUAAGCUUCUCCCCUGUCCCCCCGCCCGUUUUAAUGUUUUAACGCAAUACGAUGAUAAGAAACCAAAUAACCCGAGCUUCAUAGCUUCAUAGCUUCUAUUUUCUAGAAACUGGAGAGGUGAAGAUUUUAUUAGGAAGUUAGGGCAACAGGAAAUUAGAUGAAUGUUCAACCUGUAGACACUUUUUGUAGCUAUACGGUUGGUGUAGCUUUGAAUUAUCUUUAUAUAUGUUUAUCUGUUUUAUCAUUAAAUUUUUAGGAUACUUAUAAAUAUGAUUCUGUGUUUUGUUCCUUUGGAAAAACAGGGCAAUAUGUGUAUUUCGCCAUGUGUAUGUUUUCUAUUAUGUAUGGCACAUUUUCUUGAGAAGCUGGAAUUAAUAAAAAAUAAUAAUAAAUGUAAAAAGUGUAUUUUUUUUUUUCAGUAAAGCCAUUUUCCAAUAAAGUUAUUUUUUAGGUAUUUUUCACUUUGAAAUUUGACAUAUAACCUUAUGAGAUCAGAGUGACAGGUGAGGUGGGCCCAGCCAUGGGGGCCAUUUUUGGGUCAGUUGGGAAGAUCUGAAGAUCUUGUUUAAUUGGCCCAAGAUUGUUUCAAUGGCCGCAGGUUGUGAUGGACGCUUGGGGACAUUUGUAACGCUUCCUGUUGGUAGGGAUAUGCAUGUAGCUGUCAUUCUCCUGCAAGGUAUAAUAUCCACAUCUUGUUGUUUGAAACAUGUUUUGUAAGCAUUAUUAGUAAACCUUUAGUAAAUCCCUUUUAAUUUUCAUCUCAGUGCCCUGGUGAGUGUUCGAAAGAAACGUCCUUUCAUUAUCUCUCGCUCAACAUUUGCUAGUCAUGGGCAUUACGGCGGUCACUGGACGGGAGAUGUGGAGAGCACCUGGGACCAGCUAUAUCACACUGUGCCAGGUGGGUAAUCCUUAGUAAUGAUAUUGGUACACUCAGGGCCAGAUUAAGAGCCCAGUAGACUUGGUGCUGACAAUUAUGAUGGGCCUAAUUAUAGAAUCAUAAACAGUCAUACCUACCAAUCGUCAUGUAUCUGGCGGAAGUGGUGCUGAAGGGAAACCCAGAGGAUGCAGCUAUGAGAAAACACACACUCUACGCUAAUCUCUCUCUAUUUUAUGCUUUCAUCUUUCAAGUAAAUCCAUACCCCCUAACAGCAGUGUCCAGUGAAGAAGGCAGUUAAUGGGUGGUGUAAAAGGGUGGGCCACUGACGCAAAUCAUGUAAUCAGACCUGCCAAAAGAGGCGAACAUGCCUUAAAAAGGGGGCCUGCGCCUAAAGAAUUGGAAGGCCAGCUCAGCAUGCAUGCACAUAAGGCUGCCUGCCAAUCAUGCAGGCUGGCCAACUAAGGGCAUACUAUGCAGACAGCACCCUGAGCUUGGCAUAAAUGCAUCUAAUGAUGAGCCUUACCAAUUUGCAUAAUUAAUUAUGUAUGCAUGUAAACCACAAGGAGUGACCUAAGAGAAAAUUCUGUAAAAUCCCCAAAAAACUACUUACAUUUAUUCUGCUGAAUAAAAGAUGGAUUGUUCCCAGUGUCUCCCUGUCUUCAGGUGUCUUAGUGUCCCCUAGUCUUCCAGUAUCUCCUAGUGUCUGUGUCCUCUAUGUAUCACAGUGUUUCAGUGCCCCAUGUGUCCCAGUGUCCCCUCAUGUCCCCAUGUCUCAGUGUCUUCUAUGUAUCACAGUCUCCCUAUGUAUUACAAUGUCUCAGUGCCCCAUGUCUCCCAGUGUCCCCAUGUUGCCCAGUGUCACUUGGACACUAGGGACACUUAAGAGACAUGGGAACACUGUGAGACAUUAGGACACCAGGAGACACUGAGAUAUAGGGACACUGGGAGACAUGCGGACACUGAGACACUAGGGACACUGUCUGGAAGAUAUGGAGACAAUGAGAGACUUGGGGACUGUGGGAGACAUGGGGACACAUAUGCUAGGGACACAGUGUCUCAGUGUCCCCAUGUCUCCCAGUGUCACCAAGUGCCUAGUGUCUCACAGCGUCCCCUAGUGUCUCAGUGUACCCAUGUCUCCAGUGUCCCCUGAUCUUCCAAUGUCCCCAAGUGUCUGAGCUCCCAGUUCAUUGUCCCCUAGUGUCUCAGUGUCCCCAUGUCUCUCUGCUGCCUUUCCCCCCAUCCCUCACUUUUCUGAGCUGUAGGCUGUCUCUGCAGGCUGGGAGCUGCUGUCUGGACUCUCUGUCCUGUGAAGCUGCGGAUCGGUGAGAAGAGAGAGGUAGGGAGGGAUAUGCUUUAACUUCCUAUCCCUGCCUCUCUCCACACACACAGUGACACCUACUGGCCAGCGCAGGUAUUGCAGAGUAAUCUCUGUUUACACUAAGAAAUAUGCCGGCAUUUGUAUUGACGAUUUUACUGCAAUACUGGCACUAGCCAGGCAGCCUCAAAUACCAUAAAAUACCAGCCAGGUGACAACCCUAAGAGUAAUGUGUAAAAUUAAUGGGCCUAUUCCAUGGGCCUGGGCCUAUGUUAAUCCGGCCCUGGGUACACUGAUGAUGCUAUAAGCUUGCUUUAAUCCUAUGGGUAACAUUACUCCAUUUCCUCCACAGCCAUUAUUCUGUUUAAUAUGUAUGGGGUCCCCUUGGUGGGAGCAGAUCUAUGUGGAUUUGUGGGAAAUGUCACAGAGGAGCUCUGUGUGCGAUGGAGCCAACUUGGAGCCUUCUACCCAUUCAUGAGAAACCACAAUACUAUUGAAGCCAAGGUAACGAUGAGGACAAACUAUACAGAGCAAUGAUCUCAAUUUCCAGCUCUUCCUCUGUUCAAAAUGAGGAAAGAAAAUGUAAUUUUGGAGCCAGCAAUCCAUUUUCUUCAUAGACAAGAUGGGAAUUGUUAGAUUCUUCCUCUUUCUAAUCCAACCAGUGUUGAGUGGGCAUCUUGAGUUCUGCUGUGUCAAGGAUAGACACCCCAAAACACAAAGAAUGAGGCCGGUUAUAGAGAGGGUGGACUUAUUACCAAACCUGAGAGUGGCCGUGCUUAAUGUAUGAAGAAAGUAAUUGAUACAGAAUAAUCAAAUACAAACCUAGAUCAGCAUUGGAGAAAGAUGGAUAAACAUGCAAAUCAAAGACAAGGGUCAGGGAUACUAGAAUACAAAAUAAAAAUUUGUACAAAGAAAAGUCAAAUACCAGAAAUGCAGAUAAUCAAGGAAUGUACUCUCAGGCUAUUAGCAACCAAGACAGGGCAAGGAUGAGAGGUCACACAGGCUACUUAUAGGACCCUGUGGCCUCUGAUUGGCUUGCAUUACAUGUGACACAAAAACAAAUGCUACUAGUGUUGUGCGAGCAUAGUAAGGCACCCACACAAGACAAGAAUCGCAAUAAGAAUAAAAAGGAACCAGGGUGAAGUGUACUGCAUCAUUGCCAAUCUUAUAUCAACGUCCAACAUUAUCAUGUCCUGCAUGGAAUGGAAGAGAAGAGAGUGCCUACGAGCUUCAGUUGAUACCUGGAAGGGGGAGAAGUUAUGACAUGCUGGCCACACAGCAGAUAUGCUCAAACUGACUUGUCCAACUCCAUCUUGCUGAGUCCGGCCAACUAAUUCCCUGUCCUAAUUUACCGAAUCUGAACUCCAGAGGUGGAGGUUUAGCUCAGAAACCAAAUGCCUCACUGUUGAUAAAUGAAACUUAUUGGAUAUAAAUUUUUUUGAAUACAGUUGGUUUUGAAACUUCAAGACUUCUCAUUCAUCUUGUUGAAAUAUGAUCAAGGAUACAUAAUAAAUAGCAGUGAAAUUUGGGCUCCACCUCGCACGUCUUAUUAGGGCCAACUCAUUAAUUGCCUUCUUUCUGUGCAGUUUACUGUCCAUGUCAAAUUACAUAUUAUACUGAUUGACCUGAAGUUCAUAUAAAAUAAUAUUUGGUCAUUUUUGCCUUAAAAUGAGCACAUUUUCCCUUUACUUGUAUUCAGGUGUUCAUACACCCCCUUCAACAUUAUGACAGUUGUAAUUAUCCUUCUGAUUUAAACUCUCUUCUCUAUUUUUUUUUAUCAAUAAUACAUGUGUGGCCUUUAAUCUAAUUUGUGAUAUUCCUAUAUGAUAGCUCCAUGUGGCAACCUUUGUUUUUCUAAAACCUCUGCUGGAGAAAGAGAUCCAGAUGUAGCCGGGUCACAUAAUUCUUGACAAUCCACGGUCUAGAAGUUAUUUUCUUGUUGUAUAUUCCUCAAGAUUAUACCUAUAUCUGUGCUUUUUCUUCUCCCAGUCACAGGAGCCAUAUGUUUUCAGUAAACGCGCUCAACAUGCCAUGAAGACGGCCCUGUUCAUUCGAUACUCUCUACUUCCAUAUCUCUACACGCUGUUCCAUAAAGCUCAUAGCACAGGAGAGACAGUUGUACGAGCACUUUUCAUGGAGUACGUUCUGGGAUCAAUAAGGUCCAAACGUCAAUCACGUUGGGUGCUGAAUCCUGAUCUAUUUCUUUCUUUUCUACAUCCAGGUUUCCUUCUGAUCCAAACACAUGGACAAUCGACCGGCAGUUCCUUUGGGGAGAAGCUCUGCUCAUCACCCCUGUCCUGGAGGAAGGCAAGAACGAAGUGAACGGAUAUUUUCCUGCUGGAAUAUGGUACAACAAAAGCACAGUGAGUUUGUCUAUACACUUUAUCCACCUGAUUAAUUUUAUUUCUAAUCUGUCUUGUAUUUAAUUGUUGAGGACCCAUUAAGCAAAUUAACACAUGGUUUAGAUGGGUUGAGAAACAUUAUAUAAGGUCCUAAGAUUUCAUUUUCUUGCUUUUCUAUCUCUCUUGUAAUCUGCUCUACUUUUUCUCUUUCCCUUAAUCAUUUAAUUUAUACUAAAUAUACAUACAUAAUGUAACAAGUACAGGGUAUGUCUGGUCCCUGGUUUGGACCCAGACCUGUCCCAUUAUGUUGUUAGUUCCUCCUCUGGCACCUCAGCCAUCCUCUAGGCAGGAAUCAAUCUCUCUGCUCGCUUUGUCCACUUUGUCAGGAAUCAAUCUCUCUGCUCGCUCCAAGCAUUGUCUUUAUAAAUACUUUUUUAGGCUCUGAGUCCAGGCCUUGUGUACAGAGUUCUUACAAAUCUGUUUUGAGACUGGGCCCCUGGACACAAGCACACUUAGACAAUGUUCCAAAAGGAACUGGAUAAUUUCUUUACUUUCAAACCAAGACCUACCUUCAACAGUGCUACAUUUAACUUAUGGCGAGGUAUUAAAAAAGUACAUGAAACAUAAAUAUAUAAUAAAACAUAAAGGUACAAAAAAACUGCCAUACAAGGGAGCAUCAGUGACACUUAUAAAAUGUAAAUCCCAGAGCAUUUUGUCUGUAUUUCAAACAGAUGCAAAUAUAUGCAAAUCAGACUUAAUGUACAUAACCACUUUUUCACCAACAGAUGGCGCUGCACCAAAAUCCAUGGUCUUGAUACUAUUACACAUAUCAUUUGUGUUUGUAUUCUAUUCAUCUUGUGAUCUAUUUUCAAGAACACAAUAUUUCUUCUGAUACAUCUCUACAUUUCUCUAUCCGACAGGGUAAAAGAAUUCGAAGUCAGGGUCAGUGGAUUGUCCUCCCAGCCCCUCUAGAUGAAAUUAAUGUCCACGUGCGAGGGGGCUUUAUCUUACCUACACAGGUAAGCAGUUGGUGAGGAGAAAGUAAUGGGUCUUUUCUAGAGGCAGCACAAGGCCAAAAUAUAAUCGCAACAACCCCUGAGUGCAAAGACUGCCGCCUAUCCUAGCAUGUCAAAAAAUAUUUGUGCAAGUAAGUCCUACUUGUAGUGAUAUUUGAGUCAUUCAAGAGCUGACAGCUAUAUUGCAUUUUAAACACCGAGGAUAAUAUGAAGGGCAAUGCUAAGCCCAUGAUUUCCGGGUGUCUGCUAAAGAUUACUUGACACGCACGUACAGUAUAUAGAUAGUGAUUGGGGUUUCAUUUUGGAUUCUUUGUAACUGCUGUCAAUCACUCAUAAGAUUGUGGACCAGCUCCAGGUUUCGAUGUUGAUGUUUUUUCCCAUAAACUGGUUAGAUCAUGCAUCUAGCUGAGUUCCAGAGGCAGUAAAUGUUGCUUUCCCCUGGGCUGUUCUGUUUCUAUUUAUUCAAAGACAUUCCUAUGUAAAGGGAAACCACAUACUGAAUUUUCUUGUCUUUCACUGACUGGUUUAUUUUUGGUUACAGAUAAAUUAUUUUAGUAUUUGGAAAGAAUGUUAACUUUAAACACGACUUCUUGUUCCUGGUAAAUUCGCCAUUAUUUGUCAGAGAGCUUGAUUGUAGAUGAGAGUUGUUUUACUAUGUCAUGAUGGACUGAUCCAGGGUCAGUUGAUUAUUGGUAUAUAUUGACCAUACAUUCAUAUCUUCCUAUAUAUAUUGACCAUAACCUGCUCUACACGUCGUCCCAGCAGCUUCCUUUAAGUUGGGGUAGAGGAUAAAUAAGGUCUUCUCUCUCAGUCUGCGAGUUCACACUACGCAGAGUGACUGGCUGGAGGGGACACGAGACACCCAGACAUUGUGCCAGCAGAGUUGCGAGACACCCAGACAUUGAGCCAAGAGUUUGUAGUAUAUAUAUAUAUAUACACAUACAUACACACACACAGGGGUCAAAUCCUGAGUAAAAUAAGUGUGGGAACUCACCCAAGAUCCACCCCCCCCCCCUUAAAAAAAAUAAUUAUACGCUCGUUUGCAGGGGCUGAGUAGGGGGACAGGGGCUGAGGGGGCAGGGCUGAGGAAGAGGGACAGGAGUGUAGGAGGGGGGGGGGACAGGGGCUAAGGAAAGGUGGACAAGGGCUGAGUAAGGUGGACAAAGGCUGAGGAGGGGACAGGGGCUGAGGGGCCAGGGCUGAGAAAGAGGACAGGAGUGUAGGAGGAGGCAGGGAGCUGAGUAAGGUGGACAAAAGGCACAGGCUGAGGAGGAGACAGAGGCUGAGGGGCCAGGGCUGAGAAAAGAGGGACAGGAGCGUGGGAGGGGGACAGGGCUGAGUAAGGUGGACAAAGGCUGAGGGAGGGGACAGGGCUGAGGGUCAGGGCUGAGGAAGAGGGACAGGAGCGUAGGAGGGACAGGGGCUGAGGAAAGGUGGACAGGGGCUGAGUAAGGUGGACAAAGGCUGAGGAGGGGGGCAGGGGCUGAGGAGGAGGGACAGGGGCUGAGGGCUGAGGAAGAGGGACAGGAGCGUGGGGGGGGCUGAGGAAAGGUGGACAAAGGCUGAGGAGGGGGACAGGGGCUGAGGGGGCAAGGGCUGAGGAAGAGGGACAGGAGCGUAGGAGGGGGGUACAGGGACUGAGUAAGGUGGGCAGAGGCUGAGUAAGGUGGGCAGGGGCUGAGUAAGGUGGACUAGGGCUGAGGAGGGGGGCAGGGGCUGAGUAAGGUGACGGGCUGAGGAAGAGGGAUGGAAGCUUAGAAGGGGGGCAGGGGCUGAGGAAGGGGACAUGGACUGAGGGGGACAGGGCUGAGGAAGAGGGCAGGGACUGAAGAAGGGGAUAAAAAAACUCUAAAGUGCAUUCCCCCCUCCCUGAGGCUUACCAUGGGCCAGGAGGGGUGGGACAGGAUCUGGAGCCUGCAGUCAGUGGAGUAGGCCGGCCUCUCCUGAUGAUGUCAGGAGGGGGCGUGACUUUCACUGCUCUUCCCCCAGACUCCCCAGCGGUCCUGAGAGGAGGCAGGGCCAGAGCCAGGGGAUUCAGAUUUGUGUUGCCCCACGCUCUGACGGCCGCUUGUGCCAGCCCUGGGUCCUGCAGUACCUAUAAUGGGAACGACGUUCCUGCUCUGGAAAAAGUGCAGGAACAUCGUUCCCAUGCGUUCCUGCAGGACUCGAGGCCUGUAUAUAUAUAUAUAUAUAUAUAUAUCAAUUAUAAUUAUUAAUAUAGUGACAAUAUAUUCUGCAUCUCUGUACAAUAGGUAAAUGAGAGAAACAUUUGAUUAUAACAAAACACGCAUGACAUAGGGAACAGUAGGUGAAGAGCUUACAAUCUAAAAGGACGAGGGAGAAAUAUUCACAAGGAAUCAAGUGAUCUGUAUGUACCCGCCGACGAUGGGAGUGGUGUUUGGAUGAAGGAGCACCGUGGUGGGAGACUGCAGAAGGUAUCGGGGAUGAGGAGUUAAGGGGAGAGCUCAUGGGCUAUUCUAAAGAAGUGUGUUUUUAGGGAUUUUUUUGAAGGAUUGCAGAGAAAGGGAGAGGUUAAUAUGCCACAGGGGGGUAUUCAAUAAGUUUGGGGUCACACUGGUAAAGUCCUGCAUCUGAGAGUCUGGAGUGCGUACGUGAAAGGGACAGUAAGAGGCAGGGUUGAAACGUAUCUGAUAAUGAGUGAGGAGAUAUAAGCAGGAACAGAAUUAUGGAAAACUUUGUAACUAAACUUGUAAAGAAUUUUAAACACAGUCCUAACAACUUAAAAAUCUUUAAAUAUAAAUAAAAAAGUGGAGCGCAAAAGAAAACUCCUUGACUUUAGGUUCCAUAAACAUGUAAACAUGAGAAAAAUGCAAAAUAGUGUAAUACUGUUACACAUGAAUCAUGUAGAUACAGAUAUUAAUAAUAAUUAUAUGCAUAAAAUCCAAAGAUGAAGAAUAACUGAAUGUACAAUUUAUUUAACACAUAUUAAAAGGAUAUUAUAUUAAAAACUAAAUAUAUAUUGCACAAUCAGAUGGGUAUCACUGCCCCUUACUACAGAUUGGUGGUGAGCAUACGCGGUAUAAAACAUUGCCACUCACAAGCGUUUUGACCUUCAGAUAGUCAACUAUAGUUGUCUAGAUCCCAAUCCAGUCUGCUUCCUCUGGACAAUGUCCCUCCAGGCAGUGUCUCUCCGGGUAGUGUCUCCGAUAGUAGCGAGCUCCAUCUCUAGUGCGUGUGUAGUUCGUAUCUCGCGGUUUUCUUUAGCUUCGUCAGGACGUGAGUCAUAGUUCCCGCCAUCUUUGUCUUGGGUAUUAAUGGGCAAAGUCUGUUUGGGCUCUCUUAGUCCCCAUUGGCUACAUCUAAAAGUCUUUAUUUGCAUAAUUACAAGUCCAUGAACAUCUAAGUAUCACGGGUGGUGGUACGGAGACCGGGACCCAUGAGUGCCUGAUGUUGAUGAGGGGAGUCUCAGCGUGGAAACGGACUAUCAGGGCCGAGUGCAGGGUAACCACACGCCCCAUGGUGUUAAGCACCAGCGUUUGUGCUGCCACAUACCAGGGCCCUGAUGCAUCUUCUGUGGAUCCCAGACGCUUGAGGAUAUGCAGACCUCCCAGGAUCUGGAUAGGGAGGCUCUGCAGCAGAAAUGUAUCCAGUAAUAGAAACAAGGCAAGACUAGAACAGGCACCAAACAUGAAAACAAGACAGAACUAGUAGAACCCAGAACCGGAGCAGGACAGAAAGCAGAACCCAGAACAUGUACACAAGACAUGAGGGAAACAUGAACAGUGUAGGACAGGACUGUACAUGAACUGGGAAUACAAAAUAAAACAAGACAAGGCAAAACAAGAGGAGACAUAAAUAAGUACUAUAUAUAUAUAAAACAUUGGAGCUUUAGACAUACAUAAAUGGCCAAGAUGUAUGCAGCCCACCACUGCGCCAAAGUACUCCAAUUACGGUGGGUCCUAACUGCCUAGAUAUGCAUGACUAAAUAAUCAACAAUAAAAUACACACAGUACUUACCUGCAAAGAAAGGAGCAGAGGACAGGAAACCACUGCCUGCUGGAACCAACUGAAACAAAAAGGAUCAAUGGAAAAGGAACGGGUGUGGCAACAAAAAACAAACAUUUAAAGGAAUCCAGGAGACUGGGAAUUCCAGGAACGGAAUAAAGGAAUGAACCCAGAAAACCCAACAUAAAGAAAACCAGACAUAGAAUAGAAAACCAGAAAAACCUAGAAAAACUAAACAAGGAUUGUAAAAAGAGUACUGGAUUAAUCUUUGACUUUGGUUGAUAAAAGUGUUGAUGCAAAUUUCUUUUUAUUCUAAUUAGUUGACUCUUGGGAAUAUUUUCUAACCAAGUGCUAAAGUGGCAGCUUGUUUUGUUGAUUUAGCUAUUGACGUCAACUGUUUUAAAAAAAAGUUUCAGUUUUAAUUUGAUUAUCUUCUAUACAAAUUGUAAGGUCAAGGAAGUUCACUUUAGAUUCACUGUAAUUAAAAAUUAGUGAGACUCCCUAUUCUUAGAGUUAAUGUCAUUUUUGUCCCCUCUCCAAAUAAAAAAAUAUCUAUGUAUCUCUUGUACAGCACCAGGUUUGACCCCCAUUCCCCUUCUGGGUUAACGUAUUUUGAUUCCCAGUGGGCCAUAAACAAAUUUGCGUAACUAGGGGCAAACCUGGUGCCUUUAGCUGUACCACAUAAUUGCAAGUAAAAAAUUGUUCUGAAACCAGAAAUAGUUAUUCUUUAAAAUAAUUUCAAUGGCCUCUAAAAUAAAAACAAUUUGAUUGUCUGGAUAAAGAAUACCGUAUAUACUCGAGUAUAAGUCGAGUUUUUCAGCACAUUUUUUGUGAUGAAAAACCACUACUCGACUUAUACUCUAGUCAAUGUCUGUAUUAUGUCAAUUUACAUUGCCAUAACACAGACAAGGACGGCCAGGCUCAUUACAAGCCCGGCAGUCCUGUUGGGGGCUGUUACUUACCUUUCCUGCAGCUCCUGUCAACUCCCUUCUCCUGCGUUCCGGUCAGCUCCCCUGUCAGCUCCACUGUAAAUCUCACGAGAGCCGCGGGGUCAGUGCAUCAGUGCGGGUUACCGUGGCAAUGCUCCGCACGGCAGUCACACCGUGAGACCGUGAGACCUACAAUGGAGCUGACUGGACCAGAGGAGAGAGAAGGGAGCUGACAGGAGCUGCAGGAAAGGUAAGUUACAGCUCGCUGCCAGCCCCCCUCCUACACAGCCCAUGCCACUGGACCACCAGGGAAUGAGAGCCCCCCUCCCUGGCCAGCUAACAAGCAGGGAGGGGGGACGAAUAAAAAUAAAUACAAAUUUAAAUAAUAAUAAAAUAUUAAUAAUAUUUAAAAAAAAAUUAUAAUAAAAAAAUAUUAAUAAAUAUAACAAAAUAAUAAAAUAUUAAAAUAAGAAUAAUAAUAAAAAUAAAAAUGCCCACCCCCACCAAGGCUCUGCAUCACCCACACACAUUACACACACACACACACUGCAUUCAUACACACACACUGCAUUCAUAUACACACACUGCAUUCAUACACACACACACACACUGCAUUCAUAAACACACACACUCUGCAUUCAUAUACACACACACUCUGCAUUCAUUAUAUACACAUACUCUGCAUUCAUUCUAUACACACACUGUAAAUAAAUAUUCAAUUAAUAUAAUUUUUGGGAUAUAAUUUUAUUUAGAAAUGUACCAGUUGCUGCUGCAUUUCCCACCCUAGUCUUAUACUCGACUCAAUAAGUUUUCCCAGUUUUUGGGGGUAAAAUUAGGGGCCUCGGUUUAUAUUCGGGUCGACUUAUACUCGAGUAUAUACGGUAAAUUUAAAUAAAAAAAAAAGAAAAAUAUUCAGUAUGCCAACACCUUGAUAUAUUGGUCUACCUGAAGGUUUCAUUAGGUUUUUGUUGAUCUUCGGUAAAAAAUAAAAAAAUUGUAUUUUUACCUGUUUCAUAUUCAGAUAUUCAGCUUCUUUUUUAUUUAAAACUCCAUUAAGACACCUUUUUCUACUAAUUUAGCAACUUUGUUUUUAAUGUCUGAUGUCGGAUCUUAUAUUAAUUUUUUAUAUAUUAUUUUAUUGUCCAGAAGUUUCCAAGCCUCUUCAAAAUAGUAUAAGCGGCUCAUGACUAUUGCCCCUCCCUCCCUUGUCUGCUGUCUUUAUUACUAUAUUACUGUAAUUUUUUAGAUCUUUCAAUGCUUUUUUGUUCCUGUGUGGUUCGAUUCAAUAUACAUUUAUUGAGGGGUUAUAUUUGAUUAAUAUUAUAAAAUACUGUUGUAGGUGUAGAACUGUUCCAAUAUAAUUUAAGGGGGCAGAAACAGUGCCUUAAAACCCAAUAUGCCCAAAUAGCGUUUUUAAAGGGCAAUACACCUUAGGGGCCAUAGUCACAGGGCAAGAGGCUGGCAAGCAGGCCUCUCCAAAUCCCAGUGACGAAGGUGCUUUCGUCACACCUUUGAACUUGCCAUUUAGAUAUGUCUACAUCUUUUUUAUUGAUCCCCCUUGGGUGUAGACACUAAAGUGUAUAGCAGCAAAUUAAUAUUUUAUUAACUAUAAAAGUUUUUUUUAAAAGGAUUAGUAUUCUUGUUUCAGACGAUCUUUUACCCAUUUUUAUGGUCUUUUGGAUGCGAUUUUUUUAAGCUCUUUUAUUACUUUUUGAAAUGAUUAACUUACAAAUCUUGCACUCAAAGACAACAUGACUAUAUGGCAUGGUGCAAUGUUUAGCAAAUAAUACCCACUAUAAAAAAAAAACAUCACUCCAGAGACCUAUUGAAAAAGAUGGGUGGGUUAACGUUUUAGUUUAUACAAUAAAGGUUCUUCAAGACAAUUGCAGCAAACUAAUCAUGUAUAUAUUUAUAUAAACCAAAGAAAAAGUGGACACCAUGCCAAACAACAUUAAAACCACCUGCCUAAUAUUGUGUAGGUCCCCCAAACAGCCUCUGAUAUGUCAAGGUAUAGACUCCACAAGACCUCUGAACAUGUCCUGUGGUCAUGACAUUAGCAGCAGAUUCAUUUAAGUUCUGCAAGUUGCGAGGUGGGGCCUGCAAGGAGAAGAACUGUUUGAUAAAUCAAAAUAAAACAAAUGCGGGGCAGAGCUAGCUGCAGACCAGAGCAGACUCAUCUUGGAAGGCUUCAUGCCACAGCUGGCAAAAUAACCAUUUUUCUUGUGGAAAUUGGGCACUUACCUACCCACUGCCUUGACUGCAGAUAGGAGAAACCACGAUGGGCAGGAAAAACAAGAAACCGAGGGCGGAUAAAGCUCCUACCAGCCGUGACAUAGGCGAGCUCCUGCGUAACUCUCAGAAAACUACAUGGGAGAAAAUGGCGUUGGGGGAAGAAGGAUUUUCCGACUCCUCCUCCGACACUUAUACCGACCUGGGAGAAGGAGCUUCACUGGGUCAGCCAUCAGGGCAUAUGGCCAAGCCACCUCCAUCUGGUGAUCCAGCCACCACAGACCUAUUAAAAAGCAUGUUUGCUGAACUCCAGCAGAAUUUGGCUUCGGAUAUAGCAUGCUUCAAAGAUGCCAUUGCAGGAGCUACCACAAGGCUCAACCUCCUCGAGGCUUCAGCAAGGUCUUGGGACACCUGACUAACCACACUAGAGCAGAAGGUCUCUAACCUCCAAAAGCAGCAAAUCAGUACCACUGAGAAAGUGGGAGCCCUGGAGAGCCAAAGACAGAAACACAACCUCAAGAUCAGAGGGGUGCCUGACACCAUUGGGUUACCCAACCUUCCACACUUUAUAAGGCGCCUAUUGGCCACACUGCUACAGCCUAAACCGGCUAAAAAUGUGAAGCUGGAAGGAAUGUUCCACCUGCCAAAACUGGCAACAGCACCCCCACAGCCACCGCAGACCUUAUCUUGCGGUUUCAGUCUCUCCAGGACAAGGCCACAUUGUUACCAGCGGCCUGGGGGAGAUCCCCUUUGUCAUUUAAGGACUUGCAAAUUUCACUGUUCCCUGACCUUACGAGGAGCACUCUGAGCUGGUGCAAAUUGCUCCAACCACAGCUACAACAUUUGCGCUUCAAGAAUAUUCCCUAUCACUUGGGUGUGCCAAGACUUCUCACGUUUACCUUUCAUCGGACUACCCACCGGGCAAGGAGCCCCCAAGAACUGAACUCUCUUUUUGGCCAGUUGGGCCUGUCAACCACCCAAAUGGCUGUCCCACCUGGAUCCCUCUACGGUAGCGAUCCCGGCGCAAUCACGCAGCAGAGAAUGCCUCUUGAGUAACUUACGCUGAGACGCCACUUACUCAUCUCGAGGGAUGCCACACUUUCCGCCACCACGACCCGUGACCAAGCAUUCAAAGUUCUUACUGUUAUUUUGCUUAAAUUAUGUUUCUUCAUUUUUAUUUUUACGUUACACCUAUUGUUGAUGUUCACAACCCAAAAAUGUCAAAGUGGGUAGAUAUACAUCCCCACUUACUGUUCUACGUGAUAUACACUGCUCAAAAAAAUAAAGGGAACACUUAAACAACACAAUGUAACUCCAAGUCCAUCACACUUCUGUGAAAUCAAACUGUCCACAUAGGAAGCAACACUGAGUGACAAUCAAUUUCACAUGCUGUUGUGCAAAUGGGAUAGACAACACGUGGAAAUUAUAGGCAAUUAGCAAGACACCUCCAAUAAAGGAGUGGUUCUGCAGGGGGUGACCACAGACCAUUUCUCAGUUCCUAUGCUUCCUGGCUAAUGUUUUGGUCACUUUUGAAUGCUGGCGGUGCUUUCACUCUAGUGGUAGCAUGAGAUGCAGUCUACAACCCACAAAAGUGGCUCAGGUAGUGCAGCUCAUCCAGGAUGGCAGAUCAGUGCGAGCUGUGGCAAGAUGGUUUUCUGUGUCUGUCAGCGUAGUGUCCAGAGCAUGGAGGCGCUACCAGGAGACAAGCCAGUACAUCAGGAAAAGUGGAGGAGGCCGUAUGAGGGCAACAACCCAACAGCAGGACCGCUACCUCCGCCUUUGUGCAAGGAUGAACAGGAGGAGCACUGCCAGAGCCCUGCAAAAUGACCUCCAGCAGGCCACAAAUGUGCAUGUACAAAAAGAUAUGGAAGGGCUGCGCCAAAUAAGGGUAGAUAGUCCAGUAAAGUAUUGCUAGGGUGCCAAUAGAUGGUCUAGGAUACUUGAUAGAGUUCCUCUGUGGAUGCGUCUGGUGUAGACCGUUCCGUAUAUGUAAAUACAAGAGAGGUAGAGGCGACUAAUGGUAUAGUAUGAAAGUUCAGGGUGUGAUAGGUAACAAAAAGUAAAGAACUCACAUUCAAGAGAGCUAUGGCCAGCUCUGGUGUGGAUUGCGUACAGCGGUAUAAUCCCCGCUUAUGGGAUAUGUAGGGAGGGGUCUCCGUCAGCACCGUCUGGUAGUCCAGAGCUCGAAAAAGAAAGACAGAAAGCAACAAUAGUGCUCUCAAUUUUGAUGUGGUUCAAUGUGCAGAUAAGAAGAGGUAAAAAACUCACAUUUGAGGGAGCUAUGGCCAGCUCUGGUGUGGAUAGCGUACAGCGGUAUAAUCCCCGCUUAUAGGAUAUGUAGCGGCGAUACGUCCGUCAGCACCGUCUGGUGAUCCAAGGCUCCAAUAUAGAAGAAUAAAAGCAGCAAUAGUGCUCUCAAUUGUGAUAGGUUAAGAGAGUAGUAGAGAAAAUAAAAUAAUACUCACAAAGAUAGAGCAGAGGUACUGCUCUAUGGAUAGGCGCCGGUGGUAUGAUCCCCACCUAGGAUUUCUUGGAGUACUGGAACUUUAAAAUUGCCAAUGGAAGUAAAAGUAACCAGGAAAGGUUAAAAUGCCAGGAAUAGGUAAAAACAAAAGUUGUUUAAAGUGCAUAAAGAGUGCAAUAAAAAGAGGAUUGGUACAAUAAAGUAGCCAAAAAACUUUUAUUGAUCUAAAAUACACAGUAAAAUACAGAAUUAAUAACCAUAAACGCGUUUCACCAUAUCUUUUUGUAUCUAUCCACCGAAGGACCCGAGGGGUUUUCCUUCAUUUGGGUUGCUGCCUACCUUGACUAAUUUUGUGAUUACUAGCGCUGAAUUCUUUUUGUGUUUAUCUACACAAAUGUGCAUGUGUAUGCUCAAACAGUCAGAAACAGACUCCUUGAGGGUGGUAUGAGGGCCCGACGUCCACAGGUGGGGGGUUGUGCUUACAGCCCAACACAGCACAGGACGUUUGGCAUUUGCCAGAGAACACCAAGAUUGGCAAAUUUGCCACUGGCGCCCUGUGCUCUUUACAGGUGAAAGCAGGUUCACACUGAGCACAUGUGACAGACGUGACAGAGUCUGAAAAUGCCGUGGAGAACGUUCUGCUGCCUGCAACAUCCUCCAGCAUGACCGGUUUGGCAGUGGGUCAGUAAUGGUGUGGGGUGGCAUUUCUUUGGGGGCCGCACAGCCCUCCAUGUACUCGCCAGAGGUAGUUUGACUGCCAUUAGGUACCGAGAUGAGAUCCUCAAACCCCUUGUGAGACCAUAUGCUGGUGUGGUUGGCCCUAGGUUCCUUCUAAUGCAAGACAAUGCUAGAACUCAUGUGGCUGGAGUGUGUCAGCAGUUCCUGCAAGACGAAGGCAUUUAUGGACUGGCCCGCCCGUUCCCCAGACCUGAAUCCAAUUGAGCACAUCUGGGACAUCAUGUCUCGCUCCAUCCACCAACGUCACGUUGCACCACAGACUGUCCAGGAGAUGCUUUAGUCCAGGUCUGGGAGGAGAUCCCUCAGGAGACCAUCUGCCACCUCAUCAGUAGCAUGCACAGGCAUUGUAUGGAGGUCAUACAGGCACGUGGAGGCCACACACACUACUGAGUCUCAUUUUGUUAUAAGGACAUUACAUCAAAAUUGGAUCAGCCUGUAGUGUGGUUUUCCACUUUAAUUUUGAGUGUGACUCCAAUUUCAGACCUCCAUGGGUUGAAAGAUUUGAUUUCCAUUUUUUUUUUGUGUGAUUUUAUUGUCAGCACAUUCAACUAUGUAAAGAAUAAAGUAUUUCAGAAGAAUAUUUAAUUCAUUCAGAUCUAGGAUGUGUUAUUUUUGUGUUCCCUUUAUUUUUUUGAGCAGUGUAGCUCAACUUGCUCUACACAAAUGACACUUGUCCACUACACAUUCACACGCACAAUUCUAAACCACCCACACACAACACUCAGGUACCACCACAUAAAUUAAACACUGAGCCACUUCACAUGACACUCAGCCACCUCCUCUCUGAGCCCAGGGUUCUAGGAGAAGGCCCCAAUAUGGAACCCUACCUUGGGCCCUGGGCUAUAUUAAUCUGGCUCUUUACCUGUCACCUAUAUUCAACUAUCCACAUUGCCCAAUGUAAAUGACUGUACAAUUAAAAGGGCAGUCUGUGCAGUUAACCACUGUAGCACAUUGUCUUGGUUAUGUCACUAAUGGUCUAUUGGGGGACCUCACGAAUUGUAUAUUUUAUAACAUGAAUUCUCCUGUAAGGACUUUUUAUGUAAAAUUCAGCAGCCAAAGCAGGGAGUAAAAUCUUUAUAGCUUAAAUCUGUCUGAUUACUAAAAAAAAAAAAAAAAAUCAAACACAACUUUAAAACCAACCAUUUAUUUAUUCCACAAUGUAUUCUUUAACUAUUUGUGACCAGAGAUCUAGCCAACACUGAUGAUGAUUGUGACGAGACCAAUCUCGCCACAUUGCAUUGGAGGAGCCUGGUUGCCCACCUGCUGCCUUUGGAUUAUGGACCGGCAGCUAAAGGGUUAAUUUUACUGUGCAGAAGGAUUUAUUUCUCCCUUUCUGCACAGCCGUUCGGUAGAUUCUAUCUACCGAACAAACAGUUUCUUUUCAGCCUCCCCGGAACAGUGGGAAGUCGGCCGGCGACCUUAAUUGGCCACCCAGAAGCUGGAGUACGCCCUCCAUUUACCUCCCUGAAGCCGCGGUUAACCGCGGCUUAACGAGCGUGUGCCGGCAAUUGACCACCCAGUAGCUGUGGUUAACCGCAGCUUAAUUGAUUGUUACUGGGUGGUCGCGGUUACACUUAGCCGCCACACGAUGGCGGUGUUCUGGAGCUCCCCGGGCAGCCAGCGCUUUUCUGCCCGGCUUUCCUGCACCAAACCCGGACACUUUUACGUGCAGGCACCGCUGAACCUCCAACCCCUGGUUCUAAUUCGUACGGAUUUAACGAAUGCAUGUAAAUUCGGUAUUUUGUGUUGGGGGAAUGUUUUAACCCAGAUAGCUAUGCCAUGGAGCCUGUUCAUGGAAUUAAAGACUUUGGCUCCAUGGCAAUUAAACUGUAUUCGUGUGGUCUGAGUGCCAUUCACCUAAUAAUGUGCACUCAGACCUGAGCAAUCUGGGGAUAUGUUACAUGUAUAUAUUUACUGUACCAUUUGUCCCAUUAUGUAUUUUAAAGUGAUAGUCUGUCUUUGUGUCCCCACGUGUGUAAUGGAGUUUUGACUUUGUCCUGGGAGAUAAUUACUUCUCCAGGGCAGAGGGGAGGAAGCCAGGAUGCAUUGUGGGGAUGUUUUACUUCUGUAUGUCUGUAAUUGGUACAUGUCUGUCUUUUUUUACAGUCUUCCAUCUGGUCCCCUAGGGGAGUGUCCACCAGGUGGGAGACCUGCAUAAAUACUGGGCAGGUAGCCCUCAUUAAACAGACCACUGCUUGACCCCCAACACGGAGCCUUGUCUCGUCUUUGGGGGGGAUUUACUGAAUGCUGAUAGAGACUGAUUGCCAGGAGUGUAAGCCGCUUGGGUGCUUUUCCUGUUCGCCUGCUAGCAGCUAUUUCGUGAGGUUCCAGUUCGGUGUUUGAGCAUUCUCUGUAUGCAGUCCGAGUUUGGAGCAUUCCCUUGUAUGCAGUUCGAGUGUUUGGAGCAUUCCCUUGUAUGCAGUUCGAGUGUUUGGAGCAUUCCCUUGUAUGCAGUUCGGGUGUUUGGAGCAUUCCCUUGUGUGCAGUUCGGGUGUUUGGAGCAUUCCCUUGUAUGCAGUUCGAGUGUUUGGAGCAUUCCCUUGUAUGCAGUUCGAGCGUUUGGACCAUUCCCUUGUAUGCAGUUCGCGUGUUUGGAGCAUUCCUUGUAUGCAGUUCGAGUGUUUGGAGCAUUCCCUUGUAUGCAGUUCGAGUGUUUGGAGCAUUCCCUUGUAUGCAGUUCGAGUGUUUGGAGCAUUCCCUUGUAUGCAGUUCGGGUGUUUGGAGCAUUCCCUUGUAUGCAGUUCAGGUGUUUGGAGCAUUCCCUUGUAUGCAGUUUGAGUGUUUGGAGCAUUCCCUUGUAUGCAGUUCGAGUGUUUGGAGCAUUCCCUUGUAUGCAGUUCGGGUGUUUGGAGCAUUCCCUUGUAUGCAGUUCGGGUGUUUGGAGCAUUCCCUUGUAUGCAGUUAGAGUGUUUGGAGCAUUCCCUUGUAUGCAGUUCGGGUGUUUGGAGCAUUCCCUUAUUGGCGGUUCGUGUGUUUGGUGUUCUACAGUAGCUGUGCCUGCAUCUCUGGAAAGGGGGAAGAUCGCCUAAACGGUUUUUACCCCUUUUGUGCAAAACGGUCCGUUACAAUGAUCUUUAGUGUUCAAUGUAGACAAUAACUGGAUCAUGUUUUGGGACAAGUGAAAUGCAGGCUGUCUGCAGAAUGUUAAUUAUUUCCUUUAUAGAGGAUUUUGUAUUAUUAUUAUAAUUUCAUUGAGAAUGCUCCAUUCAUCAUCAUCAUCAUCAGUAAACACAUUUAUUUUUAGGUCUUUCUCUCUUUCAAAUAGCCUCUACAUAUCCAAAUAUUUCUCUAUUUUAGACUGAAAAUAGAUCUCUGGAAACCAACAAUUUAGAUCAAAAUGCAAGAUUUAAGUUAUUUUUGUCUUUCCAACAAUUUGUCGAUCUUGCAUAUAUAUUUUCUGAAGACAGAACUUGAAGAGCAACAAGUUGUGCAGAAUACAAAAAUAAAUAUGAAAACAAACUUUGCUUCCUUGUCAAAAUGUUGAAGCAGCUAUUAUAUACUAUUGUCUAACGAACUACAGAGGCAAAUAACACGGAAUGAACGCCACCAAUAAUGUACUGAGGACGGUAACGUUCUGAUAACGUAUCCAUGGCAAUGUAUGGCCAGGGAUGAAGAAGAGGAAGCACGGGAUGAAGUAAGCUACAAAACAACCGAUUAUGUUCCAGGCACUCCAAAGUGAGCAGGUCUAUUGGAACAGAUGAGAGCAACAUGUCAGAACACAAUUGAGCUUCACAAAUGUUGUUUUCAUCUGCUCCGAUAAACCUGCUUACUUUGGAUUUACCUUGAGCUCCUGAACCUUAUUCAAACCAACCUUUCCUCUCAUGUCCAACCACCGUUCAUAAACCAACUAAUCCCCACUCUUGUUAGGCUCCCAUUCUCAAACCACCCUGUCCCUCUUAUGUGCAACCACCAUUCUCAAGCCAAGUAAACCCACUCAUGGCCAACCACCAUUCUUUAACCAACUAACCCCCACUCAUGUUCAACCUCCAUUCUCAAUCUAACUAUCCGCCACUCAUGCACAACCACCAUUCUCAAUCUAACUAACCCCCACUCAUGAACAACCACCAUUCUCAAUCUAACUAUCCGCCACUCAUGCACAACCACCAUUCUCAAUCUAACUAACCCCCACGCAUGCACAACUGCCAUUCUCAAUCUAACUAACCGCCACUCAUGAACAACCACCAUUCUCAAUCUAACUAUCCGCCACUCAUGCACAACCACCAUUCUCAAUCUAACUAACCGCCACUCAUGCACAACCACCAUUCUCAAUCUAACUAACCCCCACUCAUGCACAACCACCAUUCUCAAGCCAGCUGUUCCCACACAUGUUUAACAACCAUUUUCAAACCAACUAAUUCCCUCUAAUUUUUCAGCACCAUUCUCAAUCCAACUAACUCCACCCAUUUCCAACCACCAUUCUCAAUCAGAGUGCCAGACGUUAGUUACAUGGUCCUCCUCUAUAUGUUACAAAUGUCUACCUUAUUCCGUUAGAAAACUGUCAUAUCUCCCGUAUUCAGUAAAUUCUGUGUCCGUCCCUCAGAACUUGCUGUUUGAGUAGCUGACCCAUAGAAGGCAAAAGUAUAUACUAAGGGAUAAAGCUAGCAAUUAUUUGCACUCUUAAAAAUAAAAAUCAUAUUUUCAUUAUUUUAAUUUGCAAUAAAUGAAAGGUAUGUUAGCACCACUUGACUUUAGAUGUAAGUUAAAAAUGUAAAAUGUUUCCGCACAUUCUCCCAGGGAUGUAUUUACCACAAGGCAAAUAAGGCAUUUGCCUAGGGCGGCACUUUCGGGGGUGGGGGGCACCAAAAAAUGCCACCCCAAGCUCCCAGACAAAUACCUUGUUUGCCUCGUGUUCUGGGGCUGUCCACCUUACUGUGAGUGAGUGAGUGUAGCUGUCAGUGUGUGUCUGUGAGUGAGAAUGGGUGUGCCUGUGAGUGUGUGUCAGUGUGUGUAUGUCAUUUUAUGUGUAUCUUAGAGUGUGUGCCUGUCAGUGAGUGGGUGUGUCAGUGUGUGUCUGUCAGUGGAAGUGUGUGUUGGUUAAACAGUGUGUGCCAAUGACUGUGUAUCUGUCAGUGAGUGUAUAUCAGUGCAUGUAUAAAUGAGGGCGUGUGUCUGUCAGUCAAAAAAAUGGUCUUGACACAAAUUGGGGGGGCAAAUUUAGUCGUGCCUAGGGCAGCACAAAUCCAAAAUACACCGCAAAAUACACUGCAUUCUCCGCAACAAAUUAUUGAACAAGGAAUCACUUGGAAACUAUACCAGGCAUUCAGACAUUCAACCAUAAAAAUGUUUAUUUCUACUUGUCUCCACGACAGACAAGAUUAAUCAUCCCAAAACAAAAUAUGAUUGUUAGUUUUCAAUUAUUAACAUUUUUGUGCUUUCCUAGUGGGACUUUGCAAUGUCCUCUGACUGCAUGUACACGUAUGAAAGAUUCUGAGUCUAUCAGGGACAACAAGGCUAAAAAACAAAGGCUGUUAUUUUUAAUAAUUAUAUGUUUUUCUUCUGUCUGCUCAGACUCCAGGAUUGACGGCCGAGAAAACACGCGAGAGUGACCUGAGACUGGUGGUGGCUCUGGAUUCCGAAGGAUAUGCCCGUGGAGACCUCUAUUGGGACGAUGGAGACAGCUUGGGGACCUUUGAGAAAGGCGAUUAUACCCAAGUUAGCUUUCUGGCUGCAAAUGUGAGUCUUCAUCAAAUAAAUGGACUCCAAAGGGGCACGUUCCCAAAUCACUGAACCUAUCAAUAUUUGAGUGAUGACAAAUGCAAGAGGUGAUGUUGCCUGUGUCUAUAGUAAAAGUUGACUUUUUGUUUCUUUGUCACAGAAUGUCCUUCAAAGUGAGGUGAUUUGGGCGGGCAGUCAGGCAGACACCCUAAAACUGGGCAUGGUCUCAGUAUAUGGGCUGUCAAAUCCCCCAAAUAAAGUGCUGGCAAAUGGGGAGCCCUUCCAAAAUUAUUCCUACAAGCCGGAGAGUGAGGUGAAUUUACUCUUUCAAAUGAGACAAACCACUUAACUACCAUUAGUCUAUCUCUCCAUUUCCUUUUGUCUGUCUGUCCAAUCUGAUCUUCCAUUUCCUUCUGUCUGUCUGUCUGCUAAAUCUGUCUCUCCUUCUCCUACUGUCUGUCUGCAAAAUCUGCCCCUCUUUCUCCUCCGGUCUAUCUGUGUAAUCUAUCUCUCUGUCUCCUACUGUCUGUCUCUGCAAUCUGCCCCUCCGUGUCCUCCUGUCUGUCUGUCCAAUCUGUCCAGGGGAGGGCUGGCAGCCUUAGGCCCGAGGAGCAAAUCCAGUCAAGUGGCCCAUUGCACCAAGAGGAGAGUAAAAACACCUUUCCCAUGUCACCUAAACAGACACACAAUGACAGGCACAAACAUACACUUGCUGAUUUAGCACACACUAAAAAACUCACUCACCGACAGGCACACGCACACACGUGCAUAGACCGGCAGGGGAGAUCCUGGGACCACCCCUGCCGGCCUCGGCCCACGGCCACCGCGGCCCACCAGGCAUUUGCCCGCUGUGCCCGAUGGCCAGUCCGGGCCUGUGUCUGUGCAAUCUGUCUGUCCCUCCGACUCCUGUCUGUCUGUGCAAUCUGUCUCUCUGACUACUCCUGUCUGUCUGUGCAAUCUAUCUCUCCGACUCCUGUCUGUCUGUGCAAUCUGUCUCUCCCACUACUCCUGUCUGUCUGUGCAAUCUGUCUCUCCGACUCCUGUCUGUCUGUGCAAUAUGUCUGUCCCUCCGACUCCUGUCUGUCUGUGCAAUCUGUCUGUUCCUCCGACUCCUCCUGUCUGUCUGUGCAAUAUGUCUGUCCCUCCGACUCCUGUCUGUCUGUCCAAUCUGUCUGUCCCUCCGACUCCUCCUGUCUGUCUGUGCAAUCUGUCUGUCCCUCCGACUCAUCCUGUCUGUCUGUGCAAUCUGUCUCUCCGACUCCUCUCUGUCUGUGCAAUCUGUCUGUCCCUCCGACUCCUGUCUGUCUGUCCAAUCUGUCUGUCCCUCCGACUCCUCCUGUCUGUCUGUGCAAUUUGUCCCUGUGUGUCCUCUUGAUUGAUUUCUGUAUCUCUUUCAGAUGAUGGUGAUAGAACACAUUUUUUUGCCAUUACGAUUUAGCAUCACAUGGUCCUGAGACCCGGGUUAGAACUCUACAGAAUCUCUUCCAGUAAUAUGUAAUCUAGGCUUUGUAGCUGAGCUUUCUCUGUGCAUACUGACGUAUCUUUAUUGUGGUGUGUAAAGCAAAAAUAGUUUUUAAAAUACAGCAUGACCCUAGUGCAGAGAUAAGCAACCUUAAGCACUCGAGAUGUUGUGGACUCCAUCUCCCAUGAUGCUCUGCCAGCAUUAUGGUUGUAAGAGCGUUAUGGGAGACGCCAAAGGUUGUCUAACCCUGUCCUUGUGAAUACAAAAUGUGACUGAAGCAAAAUUUCCAAGGAAAAAACUAAAAUGGUUAUUGAAGUCCAAAAAUGUUACUGAAAUAUCUUUAUAAAUAUCUUUUUAAAAAACAAGUUCCUUAAGGGUGUUUCUGCUCGUCCUACAUUGGAAAGUUUGUCAUUAGUGAGACGUCUUUAACAAACAGAAGUGACUUACCAGACCAGAUUUGACAGUUUCACAAAAAAGCAUAAAACCAGAAAUGCAACAACUUUUAUUAUCUCUUCCGUAAAAUGAGGAACCAUGUCUACAGCAUGGUGAACACAGACACACAGGAAAUCUGUUUUGCGCAUUUUGUCUGUAGGUGCCAUCUUCCUGAAAUUUUAGAUUCUCCAGUGGUUGUGGUUUUUUGUUACAGAUGAUAUGUCCCUCUUACCCGGUCAGAAAAAUGCUACAUUUCUCCAUAAUUUCCAUUUUAUUUAGUUAUUUGUUUGUCUAAUGUUUGAUGAAGAAACAACAUUCCCUUAACAAUUCUCUAGAAAUUUGUGAAAACUGUCACCGUAGCUCAGCAGUUCCCAGACCAGUAAUUGAGGCACGCAAACAGUCCAGAAUUCAGGUUUUACCAAAUUGUGUACCAUUGGGGACACUGACAGAAACUGGACCUUUGGAGAACCUUCUGGACUGAGCUGGAACCACCGUCAAAGCUUUAAGGCAUUAAACUGGAGAAGAAUGGACUAUUCCCACCCUCCAAUCACUCUGGUUUGUGUUUAAAGGAAAUUGGUCUUUUACUGGCCAUACUCCAUACAAGGUGCCAAAUCUUGUGAAUUUUAGAUUAGUAGUUUAGUAGUUUAGCUCCUCUUUUCAGACACAGUUUUUAAAAUAUAAUUAUUGUUUUUGAACAUCUCCACUUAAAGAAGACCUCUGUUUAUUGCGAGUUAGGGAGUCCAGUGUUUAUAUGAUAUGUACAGCAAAAAUACAUGCUCCAAGAAAUGUGUACAGCAAAUAUAUACUUCCGUCUCUUCUACUAUGAUAUAAUUUUCAUUUAGGGCAGUGUGGUCAUGUCACAAAGUUCAUCUAUGCCAAACAGACAAAACUUAAAUUUGAAAUAAAUGUGUAUGUGCUUCUGCUAAGUAUAA